RNAcentral lists this ribosomal RNA (501 nucleotides) under uncultured bacterium. Its description in RNAcentral is "bacterial SSU rRNA". It matches the Rfam family "Bacterial small subunit ribosomal RNA", at positions 29 to 524 of the family's 1533-position model. The record is from RNAcentral.
AUUGAACGCUGGCGGCGUGCUUAACACAUGCAAGUCGAUCGGUAACAGGUGUAGCAAUACAUGCUGACGAGAGGCGGACGGGUGAGUAAUGCUUGGGAAUCUGCCUAUUAGUGGGGGACAACCCGGGGAAACUCGGGCUAAUACCGCAUACGCUCUACGGAGGAAAGCCGGGGACCGCAAGGCCUGGCGCUAAUAGAUGAGCCCAAGUCGGAUUAGCUAGUUGGUAGGGAACGGCCUACCAAGGCGACAAUCCGUAGCUGGUCUGAGAGGACGACCAGCCACACCGGAACUGAGACACGGUCCGGACUCCUACGGGAGGCAGCAGUGGGGAAUAUUGGACAAUGGGGGCAACCCUGAUCCAGCGACGCCGCGUGGGUGAAGAAGGCCUGCGGGUGUAAAGCCCUUUCGGUGGGGAAGAAAAGUCUCGACCUAAUACGUCGGGACCUUGACGUAACCCACUAAAGAAGCACCGGCUAACUCUGUGCCAGCCGCCGCGGUAAU